This is a long non-coding RNA of Aquila chrysaetos chrysaetos, 2229 nucleotides long. RefSeq lists it as uncharacterized. The record is from RefSeq and is a predicted model, not a curated record. Lineage: Eukaryota; Metazoa; Chordata; Aves; Accipitriformes; Accipitridae. The transcript is spliced from 2 exons.
CGGCGAGUGCCGCGGCGUCCUCGCUGCCCCGGGGCUGGGCCCGGCCGCGCCGCGGACCCGGGCCGGCAGGGUCCGGGAACGGACCCCGGCCGUUGGUGAGGGCGAGGGCGGGGGCCGGGGGCGUGAGGGAGAGGGCGGUGGGCUGCUCGCCGGCCGCCUCGGGAAGCCGAGGGGCGACGGCGUGUCCAGGCAAGAGCCUGCCAUUAAUCGUGUCUGUAGGGACUUCUGGCAGGGAGGUUUGAGGCGUGGAGAAGGCCUGCAGCCCUGCUGCGGAGGGUUGGGAGCUUGCAGGCUGGGAACUGAAGUGUCCGACAGUCGCGUUAACCUUUCGGUAGCGAAGCUGCCGCGGCCGCGCUCUUCGCCUUCCCUUGGUAGCGCCCUGCGAGGGUAGCUGCAGCCAGCCAGCGCGCUGUUCUCGGCGCUUAGGGCGAACCGAAAGCGAGCGUGGCAGUCGGCUGUAGCGGCUCAGCUGCCUUACGCGCCGAGUCCUUCAAAGGAGGGAACUUCGAGUGCUGUCGAAGCUGUCUGACAUCUCAAGGUGCACGCAGAGUACCUGCACUCAGCAGGGCACUGCUCUGUUUGCUUCAGAGUUUUAGACGUUUAUGUCCAAACUUACUGCUUUACCUAGGCAAGAAUGGUUGCAGGAAUACAAUUUCCUAACGUGGACACUGUUAACAGAAGGCUUGUAAACCAAAAAUAAGAUUCUUGGCAUCAUCACAGCAGCUGCUCUGAUGUACCGUGCUCUCUCAGCAUCCCCACAGGAAAUCUGAGGAUUUUCCACAAAACUGAAAAAGGUGCAUCAGUGAAUAACCCACCUUCAACUGCAUGAUGCACCGAUGGAAACGAGUGAAAGGCUCACAGUGCGCGCAUGCACGCAACCCUUCUCCAUUCCCAGACUCAAUCUGUUAAGUCAUACAUUAUACGACUUGCUUGAGUCACAAGACUGAACUGCUAAUAACUGGUUUGUUACCAUCCAUUUCCUCUCAAUGUAGGUUACAUUUUUAUUUAGGGUAGUUUUUCCUGAUUGUCUGUUUAUACCUUUAGGAGCAGGUUUAUGAUGAAUCGAAAUAAACUACUUUUAAAAUGCAUUAAAAAUAGGUUGCACCAGUUUAAAUAGGACACUGGAAGUUUGAAUGUCUCCUGAAAUUAAACCAGUGUGUAUUUCUUAAAUAAAGUGGCCCAUAGAAGUACCAAAGGCCCAAAGGCGUGGUCAGGAUAUGUAGAUGGGAGACUGUGCAGUAAGUGAACGUGAAAGCACAGCAGUGCUUAUGAAAAACAGUAUUAAGUGUAAGCAGGAGAUCUAUACAUCAAAAAUUUGCUUAGCAAAUCGACUAUUGCUUUUAUGGAAUGCUACAGCUGAAUUAAAUUUGGACUUUUAACAAAUGUUUCUACCUGGAAAUUUAAUUAAAACAUAGUCGCCUAUUACUCAACUUGCUAUUGCACAAAAAUAAAGAAUAUUCAUUUGGGUUGGAAAAAUAUCAGAAUGUAUCCGAUAUUACUUUGUUAAGAGUACAUUUUAUUAAUUUUAUUAGAGAAGAUUCCAUGCUUCCUUCACUUAUUUGCCCUGAUCGUGGACUUCAUUUGCGUACCACUAUCUCCACAGUUUUUAUAAGAGAACAGAAAGUUAGACAUAUGAUUCUGCAACUAGUCCUGACUAUGAAAAAAGUUUUAGUAUACAUUUUUCUAACACUAUGCCAUUAAACUGUGUGUCUCCAUAAAAGCCACCCGGGAGGAAAACUUUAUUGCUUUGUAACUUUAGAAGAUAAAAAGUAAUCUUCCCAGCAGAAGGAAGAAAUGGCAAGUCAUGAUUUAUAAGACAGGUUUCAAAACUUUAAAAAUUACCUACUUUUAAUUACAGUUUUAAAGUACAUUUGUGGGUGGGUAAUCUGUAAAACAUGAAUUCAUAUUUCUUCCCACUCACCUCUUCUUAAUUGAGCCAUUUUAUAUAUAUAAACAUACAGAAUAAGGAAGUAUAAUAGAAUAUUUUAUUUAACAAAACAUGAUGUGUACUGAUUCACAUUGGACUCCUUUCAAGUAAAGAAGUGAUGACAUACAUAAGAAUGUAUACAAACUUGUUGAUGAAACUGGCUUUGGGCUUGCGCUUUUACGUAGGGAAUGAGACUUUUAGUAAAGUACAGAAUCUCUGUGAACUUUUGUAUUCAUUCUUUUAUUACAAAAAUCUUUUUCAAAUAUUUACAUGCUUUUCAUCAUAAAAAACAUAUUUCUGAA